This is a long non-coding RNA of Eurytemora carolleeae, 239 nucleotides long. RefSeq lists it as uncharacterized. The record is from RefSeq and is a predicted model, not a curated record. NCBI's taxonomy places the organism in Eukaryota, Metazoa, Arthropoda, Copepoda, Calanoida, Temoridae. The transcript is spliced from 3 exons.
AUAUACAGCAGGUUUACCCUCCCUCAGAUCAUAAACUCCUAGAUAUGCUCAAUAAACCACACAAGGAGAACCUGAAAACUGUCAGAAGCAAAUACAGCCAUAAGGUGUUCCACGAGGUGGCUACUAUCCCCCUGCCAACGACAGUGUCUAUGGAAUAGACGUAAUAACGACAAACUUGUAAAUAUUUUGACUAUUAUAGAUGAUUCAUGUUCCUCAUUCAUAACAUGCAAAUAAUUUAA